RNAcentral lists this ribosomal RNA (800 nucleotides) under uncultured bacterium. Its description in RNAcentral is "bacterial SSU rRNA". It matches the Rfam family "Bacterial small subunit ribosomal RNA", at positions 76 to 865 of the family's 1533-position model. The record is from RNAcentral.
CUCUUCGGGGAUGAUUAAACCGGCGCACGGGUGAGUAACACGUGAGUGACCUGCCUUUUAGACUGGAACAACUUACCGAAAGGUGAGCUAAUGCCGGAUGAGUUAUAUAAGUGCAUGUUUAUAUAGGAAAAGUUGGGGAGACCUGACGCUGAAAGAUGGACUCGCGUCCCAUUAGCUAGUUGGUAGGGUAAUGGCCUACCAAGGCGACGAUGGGUAGCCGGCCUGAGAGGGUGGCCGGCCACACUGGGACUGAGACACGGCCCAGACUCCUACGGGAGGCAGCAGUGGGGAAUUUUGCGCAAUGCUCGUAAGAGUGACGCAGCGACGCCGCGUGAAUGACGAAGGCCUUCGGGUCGUAAAGUUCUUUCGACAGGGAAGAAAAUGCCUAUAAGUAACUGUGUAUGUAUUGACGGUACCUGUAUAAGCAGCCCCGGCUAACUCCGUGCCAGCAGCCGCGGUAAUACGGAGGGGGCGAGCGUUGUUCGGAGUGACUGGGCGUAAAGAGCACGUAGGCGGUGUUGUAAGUCAUUAGUCAAAGACUAGAGCUCAACUUUAGUAAGGCUAGUGAUACUAUAAUACUAGAGUAUCAGAGAGGAUUGCAGAAUUCCUGGUGUAGCGGUGAAAUGCGUAGAUAUCAGGAGGAAUACCGUUAGCGAAGGCGGCAAUCUGGCUGGAAACUGACGCUGAGGUGCGAAAGCGUGGGUAGCAAACAGGAUUAGAUACCCUGGUAGUCCACGCUGUAAACGAUGGAUGCUAGGUGUUGGGCUUUUAAGUUCAGUGCCGCAGCAAACGCGAUAAGC